GGUUAAGCGACUAAGCGUACACGGUGGAUGCCCUGGCAGUCAGAGGCGAUGAAGGGCGUGCUAAUCUGCGAUAAGCGCCGGUAAGGUGAUAUGAACCGUUAUAACCGGCGAUACCCGAAUGGGGAAACCCAGUGUGACUCGUCACACUAUCAUUAACUGAAUCCAUAGGUUAAUGAGGCGAACCGGGGGAACUGAAACAUCUAAGUACCCCGAGGAAAAGAAAUCAACCGAGAUUCCCCCAGUAGCGGCGAGCGAACGGGGAGGAGCCCAGAGCCUGAAUCAGCAUGUGUGUUAGUGGAAGCGUCUGGAAAGGCGCGCGAUACAGGGUGACAGCCCCGUACACAAAAGCGCAUGUGCUGUGAGCUCGAUGAGUAGGGCGGGACACGUGGUAUCCUGUCUGAAUAUGGGGGGACCAUCCUCCAAGGCUAAAUACUCCUGACUGACCGAUAGUGAACCAGUACCGUGAGGGAAAGGCGAAAAGAACCCCGGCGAGGGGAGUGAAAAAGAACCUGAAACCGUGUACGUACAAGCAGUGGGAGCCCCACCACUAAGCCAGUGGUGAACUCCACAUACGCAUCCUUUGCUGAGGAUACGGUUAACGGAGCGAAAGCGACGUUCAACCGCAAAAGAAGCAGAGGGGGCUUAGUGGUGGGGUGACUGCGUACCUUUUGUAUAAUGGGUCAGCGACUUAUAUUCUGUAGCAAGGUUAACCGAAUAGGGGAGCCGGAGGGAAACCGAGUCUUAAUUGGGCGUUAAGUUGCAGGGUAUAGACCCGAAACCCGGUGAUCUAGCCAUGGGCAGGUUGAAGGUUGGGUAACACUAACUGGAGGACCGAACCGACUAAUGUUGAAAAAUUAGCGGAUGACCUGUGGCUGGGGGUGAAAGGCCAAUCAAACCGGGAGAUAGCUGGUUCUCCCCGAAAGCUAUUUAGGUAGCGCCUCGUGAAUUCAUCUCCGGGGGUAGAGCACUGUUUCGGCUAGGGGGCCAUCCCGGCUUACCAACCCGAUGCAAACUGCGAAUACCGGAGAAUGUUAUCACGGGAGACACACGGCGGGUGCUAACGUCCGUCGUGAAGAGGGAAGCAACCCAGACCGCCAGCUAAGGUCCCAAAGUCAUGGUUAAGUGGGAAACGAUGUGGGAAGGCCCAGACAGCCAGGAUGUUGGCUUAGAAGCAGCCAUCAUUUAAAGAAAGCGUAAUAGCUCACUGGUCGAGUCGGCCUGCGCGGAAGAUGUAACGGGGCUAAACCAUGCACCGAAGCUGCGGCAGCGACACUGUGUGUUGUUGGGUAGGGGAGCGUUCUGUAAGCCUGUGAAGGUGGCCUGUGAGGGUUGCUGGAGGUAUCAGAAGUGCGAAUGCUGACAUAAGUAACGAUAAAGCGGGUGAAAAGCCCGCUCGCCGGAAGACCAAGGGUUCCUGUCCAACGUUAAUCGGGGCAGGGUGAGUCGACCCCUAAGGCGAGGCCGAAAGGCGUAGUCGAUGGGAAACGGGUUAAUAUUCCCGUACUUGGUGUUACUGCGAAGGGGGGACGGAGAAGGCUAUGUUGGCCGGGCGACGGUUGUCCCGGUUUAAGCGUGUAGGUGUGUGUUCCAGGUAAAUCCGGUUCACUUUAACACUGAGGCGUGAUGACGAGGCACUACGGUGCUGAAGCAACAAAUGCCCUGCUUCCAGGAAAAGCCUCUAAGCAUCAGGUAACAUCAAAUCGUACCCCAAACCGACACAGGUGGUCAGGUAGAGAAUACCAAGGCGCUUGAGAGAACUCGGGUGAAGGAACUAGGCAAAAUGGUGCCGUAACUUCGGGAGAAGGCACGCUGACAUGUAGGUGAAGUGAUUUACUCAUGGAGCUGAAGUCAGUCGAAGAUACCAGCUGGCUGCAACUGUUUAUUAAAAACACAGCACUGUGCAAACACGAAAGUGGACGUAUACGGUGUGACGCCUGCCCGGUGCCGGAAGGUUAAUUGAUGGGGUCAGCGCAAGCGAAGCUCCUGAUCGAAGCCCCGGUAAACGGCGGCCGUAACUAUAACGGUCCUAAGGUAGCGAAAUUCCUUGUCGGGUAAGUUCCGACCUGCACGAAUGGCGUAAUGAUGGCCAGGCUGUCUCCACCCGAGACUCAGUGAAAUUGAACUCGCUGUGAAGAUGCAGUGUACCCGCGGCAAGACGGAAAGACCCCGUGAACCUUUACUAUAGCUUGACACUGAACAUUGAGCCUUGAUGUGUAGGAUAGGUGGGAGGCUUUGAAGCGUGGACGCCAGUCUGCGUGGAGCCGACCUUGAAAUACCACCCUUUAAUGUUUGAUGUUCUAACGUGGACCCGUAAUCCGGGUUGCGGACAGUGUCUGGUGGGUAGUUUGACUGGGGCGGUCUCCUCCUAAAGAGUAACGGAGGAGCACGAAGGUUGGCUAAUCCUGGUCGGACAUCAGGAGGUUAGUGCAAUGGCAUAAGCCAGCUUGACUGCGAGCGUGACGGCGCGAGCAGGUGCGAAAGCAGGUCAUAGUGAUCCGGUGGUUCUGAAUGGAAGGGCCAUCGCUCAACGGAUAAAAGGUACUCCGGGGAUAACAGGCUGAUACCGCCCAAGAGUUCAUAUCGACGGCGGUGUUUGGCACCUCGAUGUCGGCUCAUCACAUCCUGGGGCUGAAGUAGGUCCCAAGGGUAUGGCUGUUCGCCAUUUAAAGUGGUACGCGAGCUGGGUUUAGAACGUCGUGAGACAGUUCGGUCCCUAUCUGCCGUGGGCGCUGGAGAACUGAGGGGGGCUGCUCCUAGUACGAGAGGACCGGAGUGGACGCAUCACUGGUGUUCGGGUUGUCAUGCCAAUGGCACUGCCCGGUAGCUAAAUGCGGAAGAGAUAAGUGCUGAAAGCAUCUAAGCACGAAACUUGCCCCGAGAUGAGUUCUCCCUGAGACUUUAGGUCUCCUGAAGGAACGUUGAAGACGACGACGUUGAUAGGCCGGGUGUGUAAGCGCAGCGAUGCGUUGAGCUAACCGGUACUAAUGAACCGUGAGGCUUAACCUU
RNAcentral lists this ribosomal RNA (3006 nucleotides) under Salmonella enterica subsp. enterica serovar Montevideo. Its description in RNAcentral is "23S ribosomal RNA". It matches the Rfam family "Bacterial large subunit ribosomal RNA". Lineage: Bacteria; Pseudomonadati; Pseudomonadota; Gammaproteobacteria; Enterobacterales; Enterobacteriaceae. The record is from RNAcentral.